This 231-nucleotide long non-coding RNA is filed under the name Elaeis guineensis (African oil palm). Its description in RNAcentral is "long non-coding RNA (EGUI_LNC059282)". The record is from RNAcentral. Lineage: Eukaryota; Viridiplantae; Streptophyta; Magnoliopsida; Arecales; Arecaceae.
GUCCGUUGGAGGAGACCGGAUGGAUCUGUGGAAGGGCGGCUGGCGUUGUUGAAGGUUGAUGGCCGGAGAGGUGCGGAAGGCACCAGAGACAGUCGGUCACUGUAGAAUUCUGGCAACUAGAGCACGUCCGUUGUAGAAGUUCAUCCGAAAUCCAACCGCUGUAGAAGUUCGAACGGAGUCCGGUUCCUGUAGGAGUCCGAAAGGAGGCCACAUACCGUAGAAGCUCGGAUG